This is a long non-coding RNA of Mustela erminea (ermine), 3273 nucleotides long. RefSeq lists it as uncharacterized. Lineage: Eukaryota; Metazoa; Chordata; Mammalia; Carnivora; Mustelidae. The record is from RefSeq and is a predicted model, not a curated record. The transcript has 4 exons.
ACACACACACACAAACACACAGCUAGUUGAGGGUUCUGGACUCUCAGGUGCUUGAGGAUUUUAUGCAAGGGGAUGAUGACUGUGGUUUGGGUCUGGUCAGGAAGGGCUGCCUAGAGAAGGUGUCCUGUCAGGUUUGGUAGACUUCGGAUAGUGAGGGCUUCUAGAGUUGAGGAAGAGGGUUGGACGGGAGUCAAAGCACACAGUACAUCUAAGAAACUAGAGGCAAAGGCUUGUGGUCGUGGGCUCAGUGCAAAGCCUGGGAUUCCUCUCCCUUUUUCUGUCCAGACAGUCAGAAACAUGGAGGGUUCAGAAACACAGGUUGGAAAUGCUCACCUCUCAGAAAGCACAGUGGGCGAGGGGUGAGGAGAUAGGACUUCUGAUCCUAGUUCUACCACUGAUUUGUCCCAUAAUGGCAGGCAGGUCAUGUAAACCUUUCUCAGACCAUUUCCUUGUCAGGUAACGUAGAGAUAAAUAGAUAAUUAGACUACUACUAGUGGGAGGCUUAGGUGAAACUUGUAAGUAUCCAUCAGAUGUCAGUUACUAAGAGACUGUUAAUAAAUAAAAGGUAGAUACAGUGGGAAGAGAGGCCAUCUUGUCGGUUGGCCUCUUACUGGAUAUUAAAUACCAGCCACUCAGGGAUGCCAAGGAAUCGGAUACAGAGAAGAGAAAAGGGUUGUUUUUAACAGAUGAAGAAACCAGAGUUCAGAGAGUUUAAACCACUCCCUAGUUGUUGAGCAGGGACUGGGCCAAGGCCAAAUAUGAACAGUGUCACUGCUUUGCUCUAAGAACCCAUAUCUGUAUGUCUUCAGAAUGCCCAGUAGGAGUGACCCUGUUGGUGAGAAUUGUAGGGAUAUUGGAAAACUACGAGGGUACUAUUUUGGAGGUGGAUAGCUGAUCUCAGAUACAAAUAGUUCAGUCUCUUUGUGUGCCUUAAUCCAUGCUGAUCUCUGGGUGAAUUGCUAGGCCCUUCCCCUACUGGUGGGUACUACCUGUAAUCCUUUUUUUUUUUUUUUUAAACUGACACACAGUCUAAUAAAAAUAAAUUUAUUUUGUGUACUAUUUUGUACAAGCUUAUAAAUUUUAAUCCCAGUAUCUACAAGCUCUAUGUCAUUCCUUUUGAGCCUAACUUGCUAGAGGGAACUGAGAGCUGCUCACGUGGAAACAGGAGGUCAGGUCCCUUCCAAGUAGGAAAUACUGUUGUAGGAAGUGCCAGGAGAGAGAAAGCCAGCGGAAGGAGAAUGAGCAGGGCAGAAAUCUGCAUUCUGGUGGGAUCAGUGAAGAGAAAGGGAACUGAGGAUUUAUGUAAGGUUUGUGUAAGAGGCCAUGUCAGCAGGUGCAGAGAGAGAGAGCGAGCGAGCAGAGCACCCGCCGGAGCCUGGUAACUGUGUCAGAGUGCUGCUGGGCCUGUACUUGGCCCUCAGAGCCGCUCCGGCCCUCUUCCUCAUCUCUCUGUCAGCCACCAGCCAUCUCAGCUCCCACAGAAACUUGGCCAAGAGGUAGAGAAAGAUAAAGAAUCAUUCAAAUCGCCCUUCCAGACAUGUUCACUCCAGAACAUCUCUCCACUUGGAUCUUGCCAUCACUCCACCAACACCGGGACAGACAGCUUUCUCUUCCGUGCUCUUUAGCCAACGCUCAACAGGAUCGUCACAAGAAGUUGCUGUGCAUGGCGCCCAAGGUCACCCUGGAUGCUGACAAGCAACUAACAGAUGGGGAGAGAGGAAGAGUGGAAAAGGCACGUGACCUUCUGAGAUUGGCCUGAGUGUGGCACAUGCCCCUUCCACCAACAUUCCACUGGGCUUGACUGUUUACCAAGGGCCUUAUCCCCUCUCCGUUUCUGUCUUGGGAUCCUCUCCACGCCUCCUGUGACGUCUCUGCUCCUGGGGCCCGGGGAGAUGCUCGAGGUGCUGGGAUGCCAGGCGGCGAGGGGCCGAAACCUGCAGACUACUCAUUUUAAAGAAGGGAAAGCCAUUCUUCGGUGAGAUUUGACCUCAAGCUCACCACAAAAUGGACAGACUGACAGCUGCUGUGCUCCCUGGCGAAGGGAGCUAGGGGGUCAAGCCCUGCCAGCUGUCUCCUCUGGACCCCAGAGAGGUUCUUCAGUGCCCAGUUGGAAAACUUGCUAUAGUCACUGGAAAAGGAUGUGCAGAUCAACCCUGCCGCAUGGGGGAUACUAGCAUAAAUAAACAGUGGUUUGAAGCACCAGGCACUCCAAAGGGAAUAUUUGCAUCUGAAAAAAUGUUGUCGGUCUCCCCUGUCCCCUCCUUCUACGCAGCCCCAAGUAGUGAGAGCAGAGGGAAGUUUGGAAUAGGAGGCUUUUGAGUUGGUCCACAAAUGUAUAUUGCGGUAAUGUUUGUUCACUUUAAAUAAAGGAAAGAAAGCCAUUGUCGUAAUGUCUUCCAGAAUUCCACAGAAGCCCCUUUGGUGUUAUCCUACAGGCAGUCCUGAUAUGCAGAUACAAUGGAAAACUCUUAUGCAGUCUGUCUGUUAAUUGAGUAUGUGGCGCUGCCUGGUUUGGGUCCCAGGGCACCCGGCAUUACCCUGGCAGCUGUUAACGUUCCUGACGAAAUUCAUGGUCAGCUUUAGGCACACACAGAUGCCGAAGGGGGCUACCUGUUGAGAGCAUCUCUACACCACGCCUGCUGGACUGAAACCUGCUGCCUGCCUUGCCUUGGUCUUCUUCCCGCCUCCAACCCCAGUGGACAAGGGAGGGAAAUCUCUCACCCAGAGGAUGCUUGCUUACUCAUCAAGGUGGUCCAGGGAACAAGGCUCAUCUCAGAACUGCAUCCAGAAGACAACUGGCAGUAACCAACAUCUUUUUAAAAACUUGUCAAAGGGAGAAAGAUCUUGAAUUAAGUUUUCAUCAUUAUCCGUCUCAUGGCCCUUUCAUUACAUCUCAUUACCCACCCAUUACCUACAGACUGUCCCUCCUCAAAGGUGUCAAAAGGAGCAGACAGAUAAUGUUGGGGACCCUGCUAUAGACUGAAUGUUUGUGUCCCCCGCAUUCAUAUGUUGAAACCUAAUCCCCAGUGUGAUGGUAUUUGGAAGUGUGGCACUUGGGAGGUGAUUAAAUCAAAAGGGCUCUCACUCUUAUGAAUGGAAUUAGCACACUUAUGAAAGAGAGCCUGGAGACAUCCAGGCUUCCACCAUUUGAGGACACAGCUGGUGAAGAUGGCUGUCUAUGAACUGGGAAGAGGGCCCUCACCAGACACCAGAUCUGCUGGAAUCUUGGUCUUGUUCAGCCUCCAGAAGUGUGAUAAAUAAAUUUCUGUUUCU